GCUAACCAAUGCCCGGAUCACUAUUACAUGGCGGCUAGAGUUUAUUCCAUUGCCCUAGUAGGUAAUUAUGAUAACACAACCACCACAGCUAUUGUACAGUACAGGGGAUACUACACUCCAUCUUCACCUCCCUCCUUGCCUUAUCUUCCUGGAUACAAUGACACAAAUGCAUCGGUUCACUUCAUGGGCAGCCUUCGAAGCUUAUGGGAUGCGGAACAUCCUUGCAAUGUCCCAUUAAGCAUGAACACUAAAUUGAUUUACACUAUCUCUAUGAACACGUUCCCAUGCGCCAAUAAUUCAUGUGCAGGGCCUAAUGGGACGCGGUUCGCCGCAAGUAUAAACAACAUAAGCUUCCAAUCCCCUAGAAUUGACAUACUGAAAGCUUACUAUUAUAACAUCAAUGGUGUAUAUGGAGAUAAAUUUCCUAGCAUUCCACAAGUGGUGUUCGAUUUUACAUCUGAGUAUCCUCCAUUGGAGUAUGAGACGCCGAGAAACGGAACAAAAGUAAGGAUGCUCGAGUAUAACUCCACAGUGGAGAUUGUUUUUCAAGGGACAAACUUGGUUGCAGGGACACACCACCCCAUGCAUCUCCAUGGAUACAGUUUCUAUGUUGUUGGAUGGGGACUUGGAAAUUUCGAUAAAAAUAGAGACCCUUUGCGCUAUAAUCUGGUGGAUCCUCCUCUUCAGAAUACCAUCACUGUUCUUAAGAAUGGUUGGACUGCAAUCAGAUUCAAGGCAUCCAACCCUGGUAUGUUGCAAGCACUCAUGUCCUCUAUUACACACACAGAAAGCAAAACCCUUGAAACUGCCGACCUGCAUAUCAAGGAAAUUAUUUUUCUUAAUAUUACAAGAAGUUAGGUGUAAUAAUAUUGGUAUAUUUUCUCUGUUGUAGGAGUGUGGUUCAUGCACUGCCAUUUAGACCGCCAUCAAACUUGGGGCAUGGAGACUGCGUUCAUAGUGAAAAAUGGUAGACACCCAGAAGCUCAAAUGUUGCCUCCACCAUCCGACAUGCCACCAUGUUGAAGCUGCAAAGAAUUAAAACGCCAAAGAUUUCAUUGAAUAUUGGCAUUAUUCAGCUUUCAUUAUUUUUUUUUCUUCUCAAAAAAGUUGUUGACUAAGUAUUCCUCUUCAACUAAAAUAACAAGAAUAUUGUCUCAUGUAAAGUUGUAGAAUAUUGUGCCUAGGAUUAUUGAUUUGUCAAUUUCUUGGAAUUUGCCGUUUCAACCAUAAUUAAUUUCAAUAUGAACAACUCAUUAAAUAUGCCAAUACAUUCCUAAGAACCACUGAAUAUUGCCAUGUCCACAAUAUAUAUAUAUAUAUAUAUAUCUUGAUUUGACACCUUUUAGCCAUUCCAGUUUUGUUCAUCAAGAUCAAAUACCAUGCCGUAUUAGAAAAGUUUGAAAUGGAAUGUUUUAAAAUAAUCUUGAUUUGACAUUUUUUACUUAUCCAUAUUUUAUUCCAAUUCCAUACAAGGUUAAGUAUGAUAUUAAUAAUUAAAAAAAAUUGUAAAUGAUAUAGUUUAGAGUAAUUGAAUUAUUCUAAUAUUUUAAAAUUAGAAUAAUUUAACAACUAAGUUGCUGCAAUUGACGGAACUCUCCCAAGUCCAAGUCAAUAAGGUUGGGAGGAGAGUUGUACAUUCAUGAGUGGUUUGUCGAAAAAGAUUAGAUAAUUAAACUUUCGUUUCCAAUGCUAUUGAAUUAAGAAAUAAAAUAAUAAUUAUCCAUUCCCCAUUGUCUCAUUUUCUUCCAUCACCAGUAGUUGUGGCUGGAGUAGACCAAGAAGUGCAUGACAAUGCUAGGAGCUAAGAAAGGUGGAGAGAGGCCAAAAUUUCACCCUACCUAUACCUAAUAGAUAGAAUUAAAGGAAUAAAUUUGGGCAUAACCUAAUUAUACUUUAUAAACACUAAAAAAUAAUUGUAAAGAAUUAAAUCCCAAAAAAUAAAUAAUAAUAAAUGAAAUUUCAUGAAUUAAAAAAUAAAUUAAGAACGCUUUGAUAUUGAUUGUGAUUAAAAUGUUUUUAUCCAUAAAAAAUAUUUUGACAUUAUAAAUGAUUUUAAAAAGAAUCACUUAGUAUUUGAAUGUAAAUUAAAAAGCUUAUUUUGAUAGUAUGUUUAGUUAAAAAAAAUAAAAAUUAAAAGGAUCAUUUACCAAGUAAUUGUUUAGAAAUUAUUUUUAAGUGAUUUUUCAGAUUUUUAAAAGUGAUUUUCAAAUAUAUUUAAAUUUUAUUUGGAUUGGCUUUUAAGAAUUAAAAAAAAAAUGAGUUCAAUAAAAGUUUUUAUACCUAUUUAAUUAUUUUUUUUAAAAACUUAUAACUUUAAAAAAAGAUUUCAUAUAAAAGUCCUAAAAAUGUUAUAAUGUUAUUUCUUAUUAGGAUUCUUUUUAUAAAUCUUUUAUAACAUCAACAUGUUAGAAAAUUGAAAGAUGACAAAACUUGAAUUCAUCAUACUAAGAUCUCAUGCUAAAUUAUCAAGAAAAAUAUUAGAAAGACAUACUUGUAUCAAUUGGAGUGCAACAAUGAGGUUUUUUAGUCUUUGAUGUUUGAAACGAUGUAUUGCAAGGAACUUGAACUUCACUUAGUGAUGGGAUAUGAGUAAAAUAGCAAUACCUCCUAUUUAAACUAGAGACCAUAACCCUAUUUAUUCAUGUACUCUAUUUUAUUUUAUUUAUUGGCCCAUCAUAAAUAAAUAAAAUAAAAUAUAUUUUAUACGUGGUCUUUACACAUUGCAAGCCCAUACCCCUUAAGAAAUGUCUUAAAAGCCUAAUAAAUUAAUUAACUUAACUAAUCACUUUUAAUAUUCUAAUAAUAAUAACACAUGUACAAUUAAUGUUAAUAUGUAGGCCCAUAAUUGGAAAAAUUUUCCAACAAUCUCCCACUUGGGCCACAAAUGUCAUUAAACAAUUGUACAUUACAAAAAUUUAACGAGCUCAAUAUUUGUUAUCUUAACUGUAAGCAUCUCUAAAUAGUUUGGUCCACCAAUAAUACUAAUAUAGAAUCAAAGUGAUAUUAUCAUAAUUUUUGUAAUUAAACCCAUCAAUGAUCACUAUAUCAAUACAAUCAACGACAUAUAAUGUGUAGCAUGAAAAUUUCAUAUAAUGUGUCCUCAUAUCAUACCUAUUUCCAACUGGUCCUAAUUAUAACUCAAAAGAGUUAAAUGACAUACUUUCAAACUUUAUACACAACUACAAUUGAAAGAAUAUAACUUUACUUUAGAGUUUUCAAUAAACAAAACCAGAACAAUACUUGGGUCUGAUAAGAAAAACAUGUUAAUAACAAAUGAACAUCAACUAACAAACUCCCACUAUAUAAGCAUAUAAGCAAGGUAAACCACACUCAUACAAGCCACAUGCUUAUGAAGCACUUUAAGUGGUAAGCCCAUAGUGAGGGGAUCCAUAAUCAUGAAGUUUGGACUAAUAUGUUCAAUGGACACUCAAAGACUUUGAACUCUUUCCUUAACAACCAAAAACCUUAUGCCAAUAUGCUUCAAUUUUGACGAGCUUUUAUUGUUUUUAGAAUACAAUUUUGCAGCUUUAUUAUCACAAUUUAUACUCAAUGAUUUCUCAAUGCCACCAACGAUAUGCAGUACAGUGAUAAAGUUCCAUAGCCAUAUUCCUUGGUUCGAUGCCUUAUAACAAGCUAUAAAUUAUGCUUCCAUGGUGGAAGUAGUUAUGAAUGAUUUCUUAACACUCUUCCAAGACACAACUCCUCCAGCCAACAUGAAAACAUAACCAAAAGUGGAUCUUUUGCUAUAAAGCCAACCAACAAAGUCAGAGUCGAAAUACCCUGUGACCUUUAAAUGAUCAGACCUCUUAUAUGUGAGUAUCAAAUCUUUUGUUAUUUGUAGAUACCUCAUAACCUAUUUUGUUUCUUUCCAAUGAACCAUUCUUGUGUUACUUAAAUAUUUUCCAAGCAUACCAACUAUGUCUGCAAUAUUUGAAUGCGUACAAACUUGAGCAUAGAUGAGCAUAGAUGAGACUCCCUAUUGCUGACACAUGAGACUCCCUAUUGCCAACGCAUAAGGGAUAUUCUCUAUCUUUUUCUUCUUAAUUUUGUUCAUUGGGCAUUGAAGCAAACUAAAUUUAUCACCCUUAGCAAUGGGUGUGUCUCUUGACGCAUAGUCCUUCAUACCAAAUCUACUAAGCACUUUAUCAAUAUAUGCCUUUUGUGAUAAGCCAAGAAUACCACAAGAACGAUCUUGAUGAAUCUGUAUACCCAACAUAAGAUGCAUUACCAAGAUCUUUCAUUUCAAAAUUGUUUGAAAGAAAUCUCUUAGUUUCAUGCAACAAGCCUAUAUCGUUGCUUGCUAGUAGAAUGUCAUAGACAUAUAACAAUAGGAGAAUAAAUUUGCUCACAUUGAUCUUGUGAUACAUACAUUGAUCAACAAUGUUUUCCUUAAAACUAAAAUAGGUAAUCACUUGAUCAAACUUCUAAUACCGUUGAUGGGAUGCUUGCUUUAAACCAUAAAUAGACUUCUUUAAUUUGCAUACCAAAUGUUUUGAUUCGUUGGAUUCAAAAUUCUCUGGUUGCACCAUGUAUAUGGUUUCUUCAAUGUUUCUGUUGAGAAAUAUGGUCUUUACAUCCAUCUGAUGUAACUCCAAAUCAUAAUGAGUUAUAAGUGCCAUAACGAUUCUUAAAGAGUCUUUUGAUGAAACUGAAGAGAAAGUUUCUUUAUAAUUAAUGCCUUCCUUUUGAGUGAAACCUUUGGUAACUUGACAUGCUUUAUAUCUUUCCACAUUGCCUUUCAAAUCCUACUUGGUUUUAAGAAUCAUUUUGCAACCAACCUAUUUCACUUCUGCAGGCAAUUCGACAAGAUCCCAAAUGUCAUUAUCUUUCAUUGAUUUCAUCUCAUCUUUCAUGGCCUCUACCCAUUUCUAGGGAUUUACACAUUGUUUGGAUUAACUAAAAGAUAUUGGAUCAUUUUCCAGUCCCAUAUCAAACUCAGAUUCUUCAAGAUACAUGAUAUAGUCAUCUGAAAUCGCCAUUAUCCUCUCCUUAGUGAAUCUUUUCAAUGGUACUUCCAAUUGAGGUUGUUUUUUUUCCUCCUCAUGAAUAGGAGUUAGUUCUUCAGUAUGAGUAGGAGGUAACUCAAGAGUGUCUUAAUUAUCUGGAUUUGCAUUUGGAAUAAUGUUAGAUAUAAUUACUUGAUCAUUUUUAUUUGCAAUUAUAGGAAUAAUAACAUAUUCCUCUUCAAAGACAAAGUUCAUGAGUUCAGAACUCCCACCAUAUUCAGCAUCCUCAAUGAAUUUAGCAUUGCUCGUCUCAAAAAAGGACUUGCUUGAGGGUCAUAAAACUUGAAAUCCCUCAACCUUUUUGAGUACCCAACAAAGUAGCAACUUAUUAUUCUUGACUCCAGUUUUCUUUCAUUAGGCUUAUAUAGCCUAGCCUUAGUUGAACAACCCCAAACAUAAAGAUGCUUAAUACUAGGCUUCUUUAUAGUCCAAAGCUCAAAUGGGGUUUUAGCUAUUACUUUGCUUGGAACUUGAUUAAGGAUAUAAAUUAUAGUCUUUAAGGCUUCUCCCCAAAGUGAUUAUGGCAAAGAAGAAUGAUUUAUCAUACUUCUAACCAUAUACUUUAAGGUUCGGUUUCAUAUCUCAGCCACACCAUUUUAACUUAGUCCCUAGCAUGGUGUACUAGGGAAUGAUGCUAUAUUCCUACAAAUAUCUUGCAAAAGGCCCUAGACAUUGGUCACCUGGUCCAUCAUAUCUACCAUAUAUAGUACUCACCACCAUGGUUAGAUUUCAUGACUUUAAUUUUCUUUUCAAUUUGAUUUUCAACUUCAUCUUUAUAGGAUUUGAAAACUUCCAAUGAUUAAAACUUCUCAUGAAUCAAGUAUAAGUAUCCAUAAUGAGGACAAUCGUCUAUGAAAGUAAUAAAAUAUUGUUGACCAUUCUAAGAAGCCAUAGGGAAUGGACCACAAAUAUCAGUAUGAUGUUGGCACCAACCUUUUUUACAUUUGUUUGUUUUCCUUUAAUGCAUUCAAUACAAAUUUUAAAAUCUGAAAAAAAUCAAGGGAACCAAGAAUUUCUUCUGACACAAGUCUCUAAAUGCUUUGUUUAGAAAUAUGUCCUAAAUGCUUGUGCCAUAACAUGAAAGAAUUCUCAUCAGUUAAUUGGUGUUUUGUACCAAAAUUGCUUGCAUGCAAGGAUUCAUUAAUAAGUGAAACAUGGAUAUCCAAUUUAUAUAGAUUAUCAACUAAAAAACCAAUACCAAUCAUAUUUGAAUAUUGAAAAAAACUAAAAUUUCCAAUUUCCAAAUGAACAAGAGUAACUAGAUUUGUCCAAACGAGAAACAAAUAUCAAAUUCCAUCUAAAUGACAGUACAUAAAAAGUCUUAUCUAAAUCCAAAUAACAACUAGAUUCUAAUUGCAAUCUAAAUAAACCAAUCACCACAAUAGGAGCUUUAUUUCCAUUUUCCAUAUAAAUGAAUCUUUUAGCAUCAGUUGGCGCUCGACUUCUUAGACAACCCUGCAUUGUCACACUUAUGUGAGUAGUUGCAUCUGUAUCUAUCCGCCAAGUAUGAUUUUGUAUUAAAGCCAGAUUAACUUUAGAACAAACAAAGUUGAGAAGUUUACCAUUUUUUAUGAGCCAUUUUGCAUACUUAGGAUAGUCUUUCUUCACAUGUUCACUUUUCUUACAAAAGAAACAAAUGAUAACCUUAUCCUAUUUAUGUUGCACCUUAGGUUGUGAAGUCUCGUUGUCUACAACUCCUUUUCCUUUUCCUUUACUGUUACUAUUCCUUUUUCUUUUCUUGUUGGCAGCAUUGUCAUGAGAGGAAGUAGCUAAGUGAACACUUUCUAUCUUCUCUUAUUUCAAUCUCUCUUCCUCUUAUACACACUGACCAAUGAGCUCAUUAAGAGUCUAUUUUUCUUUUUGAGUAUUAUAACUUAUCUUAAAAGGAUUGAAUUGUGUAAGGAGAGAUAUCAAGACUAGGUGCACAAGAAUGUCAUUAGAAAACUCUAACUUUAGUGCCUUUAGUCAAGUAAUAAGAUUAGACAUUUCCAUAAUGUAUUCCCUUAUGUUCUCUUUGCCUUUAUAUCGCAUUGAAACGAGCUUACCAAGAAUGGUGCUCAUUUCAACCUUUUCAAAUCUAGCAAAUCGGUUUGCUAUUUGGCUUAGGAAACUCUUAGUACUUUCCUCCUUAGGCAUUACGCCCUAGAUGGUAUCUGGAAUAGAGUGCUUCAUAAUCAUAAGACUUAUGCGGUUAGAAUGCUCCCGCUUUUCAAAGUUAGCCAUUUGUUCUAUAGUACUGUCAUUAGUAAGGGUGGAAGGUUGUUCAGACUGGAUCACAUAGUCUAGAUCCAUUGGCCAGCAUCACCAUCAACAGACAAUAGACAAAAGGGGUUAUGAUCCUAACAACUUGUGCUGCUAACGGAAACCCUUGUAGUUAAGGCAAACGUUACAUCGUUCUCAAUGGAAUGAGUUAUUAAUAGAAUGAUAGAACCCUUCAAAUCUAAAGAUUUCCAUUGAUUGCAACAUGGCAUAUUUUUUGUUUGUUUGUUUUUUUCAUUAAAAUUAAUUUGUUGAAAAAAAAUUGAUAAGUUAAAUAAAUGAUUUUAAAAAAAACCUUAAUAUUUAACAUUAUUAAAUACUAUUUAAAUUAAAAUUAAAUUAAUAUUUAUUUAGAUUUAGGAUAAUAAUAAUAAUAAUAAUAACAAUAACAAUAAUAAUAAUAAUAAAAGAAACCAUCUCAGACUCCUUAAUUCAAUCAUUGAUGAUGGAUGCAUUACAUACAUCUUAUCGAGUCUUGAGAAAUAACAUUAGAGAUGACGUACAUAGUAGGUGUAAUAAUUAAGUUGAAGUUGAGUCUUGAAAAAUUAGUUCAUGACGUGAUCUUAAUUAUUUACGUAAAACAGUUUUCUUGAUUAACAAGUAUUCUACAUAUAUUUAAUUAAUAUUUCUCAAAAUAGUCAAUAAAAAAUGUGUGAAGAAUAUUUCAUUAAAUUUAUUCUGAAACAACGUGUUUGAUUGAUUUUUUAGUCAAGUCUCCAAGUCAAACUUGUAUUUUGAAUGAGAAAAUUCAUGCAUUUGGUUCAUUUAAAAUUUGGUAAAGUGACAAAAUGUCAUAAUCAUGGUGGUCCUACUUAUUGAAGUGGUCCUGGAAGAACAUUCAAGACCAACACACAUUCAAAUUACUUCCUAUUAUAUUGAUAUGUGGCGAGGAAUUGUCGUACCCCAGUAGAAUCAUCUUGACUAUAUUAUGAAUUAUAUAUUAAAGAAAUACAGCGAAAGUUCGAGAGAAACCAGCUGUCCGCUGCCCACAGAAGGUGAAAGCAGCCAUAAAAGUUGCUGUUCAGCUUUCACCAACUCCAGUUUUGGUUCUCUCCAGCCUGCAGCCAUAAAAGUUGCUGUUCAGCUUUCACCAGUUCUAGUUUUGGUUCUCUCCAGCCUCUAUAAAUACCUUUAAGAAUUCAUCUACUCACGUCAAAGAGAAGAUAAGUCGUGCUAUUAGAAAUAGUAAGAAAAUUGAAGGAGUUGUGUUUAGGACAAGAGAAGAUCAGGCUGUUAUUCCAGAGAAGAUGUGGUUGAUCACAAAGAUGAAACUCUUGCAAAUUUUAGUGUUUCUGCUUUUUGGUGGUGGCAUCCAUUGCCAAGCUUCAAUUCAUCGGCAUACUUUUGUGGUAAGUACUAUAUAUGAUUUUAGUCUCAACGCCACCUUCUGAUCAUGAUAUUUAGGGAGGAGUAUGUGUCUCAUUUUCCAUCGUAUGACCCCAUGGGGUCUUCGGGUACCCUGGUGUCGUUGAGUUGUUCAUGCAUGCUAUCAAUUUCUAAUUGGUUAUCCAGUUGCAUAAAUGGAUUGAUGCAACUAUUUAUGUAUGUAAUAUUUCUUUUGGGACAAAUGGUUAACUUCUAAUUGGUUGCAGGUGAAGGAAGCUUUAUAUACAAGGCUUUGUAGCACCAAGAACAUCUUAACAGUAAAUGGACGAUUUCCAGGACCAACUAUAUAUGCUAAGAAAGGAGAGAUUAUCACUGUCGACAUUUAUAACAGGGGAAAAGAAAACGUCACCAUUCAUUGGUAGGUCCUAUGUGUGUCUUAGAGAAAGAUAGAGGCCGACAGCAUGGCUGCAUGGCAUACAUAUUUUUUUUCUAAGAGAGGUUGAAAUAUAUUGCUUUCCAAAUAAAGUCAAAUUUAAAACAAUGCUUUAGAGUUAUUUGCUUCAAUUCUACCGAACAGUUGAUGCCUCUUGUUAAUAUGAUAAUAUGUUUUUCCAUGUCAUCUUUUGUUAGUCCGAAAAUUAAUACUAGUUUUAACAUAUAGUUAUUGUUUUGUAGGCAUGGGGUGAAAAUGCCCAGAUAUCCAUGGACAGAUGGUCCUGAGUAUAUCACACAAUGCCCAAUUCAGCCAGGGUCAAAGUUUAGCCAAAAGAUCAUCCUUUCCUCUGAGGAAGGCACUUUAUGGUGGCAUGCUCACAGUGAUUGGACCCGAGCCACCGUUCAUGGAGCUAUAAUCGUCUAUCCUAAGAAUGGAACCAAGUAUCCUUUUCCCAAACCCAAUGUAGAAGUUCCCAUCAUAUUAGGUAUAAGUGUUACUUUUAUAGGUUAAUUUACAUAUUAUGAAUUAACCAACAAAGCUAAAUCUAAAAUUAUUGGAGUUGUUGAAUGUAGGAGAAUGGUGGAAGAGUGAUGUGAAUGCGGUUCGAGAUGAAGGGCUUGCAACCGGAGCUGACCCCAAUAUCUCUGAUUCUUUCUUGAUAAAUGGACAACCUGGUGAUCUACAUCCAUGCUCAAAAUCAGGUACAAAUUAAGUUUAACUUCCCAUUUUCAAAUUGUACAUGAUUUCAUUUUCUUGUAUUUUAACCAUAUUACUUUUUCUUAUUAACAUCAACAUUUUUAAAGCUUAAUAUUAAGAAAGAGGAAUAUAGCUAUGAGGAUUGUAGAGCUAGCCAUGAUUUAACACACAAGAAAAGGCUAGUCCAAAUAUAAUUUUGAACUAUGGAACCAAAUUUACACCCCUAACCAAUUAAUUACUUCGUAAUUGGUGGAUCUUCAUGGAAACUUUUUCUUUUUCUUUUGGCUAGUCAUAAGUAUACAACUUUCCAUUUCUAAUUGUAGGCACAUUCAAGCUAACGGUGGAUCAUGGCAAGACCUAUCUACUUCGCAUAAUCAAUGCUGCCUUGCAGGAGGCUCUCUUCUUCUCCAUUGCCAAGCAUAAAAUGACAGUGGUUGGAACAGAUGGUAGCUACACGAAACCAUUGACACGAGAUUAUAUUAUAAUAUCACCUGGCCAAACCUUUGAUGUCAUAUUAGAAGCUAACCAACGCCCGAAUCACUAUUAUAUGGCAGCUAGAGUUUAUUCCGUUGCUCCACUAGGUAAUUAUGAUAACACGACCACCACAGCUAUUGUACAGUACAAGGGAUACUACACUUCAUCUUUACCUCCCUCCUUGCCUCAUCUUCCUGGAUACAAUGACACAAAUGCAACGGUUCACUUCACGGGCCGCCUCCGAAGCUUAGGGGAUGCGGAACAUCCUUGUAAUGUCCCAUUGAGCAUGAGCACUAAAUUGAUUUACAUCAUUUCUAUGAAC
This 10519-nucleotide long non-coding RNA is filed under the name Vitis vinifera (wine grape). Its description in RNAcentral is "long non-coding RNA (VVIN_LNC007045)". Lineage: Eukaryota; Viridiplantae; Streptophyta; Magnoliopsida; Vitales; Vitaceae. The record is from RNAcentral.